Molecule: ribosomal RNA, 2715 nt
Filed under: Marteilia refringens
Lineage: Eukaryota; Endomyxa; Ascetosporea; Paramyxida; Marteiliidae
Description: LSU rRNA
Rfam family: Eukaryotic large subunit ribosomal RNA
Source: RNAcentral
AGUGCAGCAGGUAGCGCCGCAAACUUAAACAUAUCACUAGCGGCAGCAAGAGAAACCAACCGGGAGGCCCUGAGUAACGGCGAGCGAAAAGGGUCGAGUCCGACGUCGAAUCUGCCUAGAUGGACGACUUCGAAGCAGAGUUGUGACAGGCGCGGGUCCUCGAAAGGCCCACGCCGAAGGGAAGCCAAAUUUACGCGAGUAGGGUCAUGGCCUUCACUCAGCGGCUUCGCUGCAACUCGUAGUUGUAGUGUGACGAGUUCGAUCCGUCACACCCGAUAGGGGGUGAACUAUGCUCGAUCAGAUCGAAGCCUGGCUAACGCCCGGUGGAGGAUCGUAGCGGUUCUGAUAUGCAAUUCGAUCGCGUGAGUUGAGCAUAGGGGCGAAAGACCAAUCGAACCCCCUGGUAGCUGGUUCCUUCCGAAUGGUCUCUCAGGACUGCUGACGUACGCAAAAUCGGACUCGGUCGUCGUAGAGCAACGAAUCGGGUUACCGGGACGCAACCGUCGCCGCACCCUUCUCGAACUGCAAAGACGAUCGGCUGCGGGCCUCGUUCACUUCGAGGCUCGUCACGGACCGGAAGACGUCAAGUCGGCGCUGGCCGGUAAGCGGCUAGCGUUAUGCGGGAUCAACCGCCAGCCGGUGUGAGGUGCCAUCACCGAUCGAAUCGUGCGGCCUCGAAAAUUGAUGGCGCUUUUAUCGGUCGACCGACCGCCGGCCGCCGAGGACGACGUCUAGCUGCACUCCGCAGCAAAAGGUGCACUGUCCUCGGCGGGUAGGAAGGCGACGCGAUGAGCCUUGAAGCUCGUCCUCGAGGACGGGUGGAGCCGUCGCGUGUGCUUAUCAUGGUUGCAGUAGCUUGAACUUCGGUCGAACCCGGAGGGCCGUAGUGGAGAAGGUUUCCUGUCGAUCGGCGAACGAGACAGGGUAAGUCGCUCCCGAGCAGACGACGAAGGUCGUUAGACAGUGCCCGACAACGGGCGAGCUGCGAAAGGGAAGCCGGCGAAAAUUCCGGCACCGCGUCAAGCCGUGUUCGACGUCUCGUGGAACGUUCGCUGCCGCAAGGUUGGCGUGCGUGCCGGGCGUCGAACGUACCGACGGCAACGUGACUGGUUCGAAGACGCUCAGCACGGCAUCGGCAUCGGUUCUCUUCCGAUGUUAAGGUGACGACGCGACGGAGUCGGUUCGCCCGGAGAUGUCGCGCGCGUCGGCGAAAAGGGUGGCAAGAACUGCGACCUUCGGUAGCCGUGCUGGGCCCGUGAAAAUUCGAACGAGCGGAUUACGAGCUUGACGCGAGCGUACCCAGAACCGCAUCAGGUCUCCGAGGUGAGAAGCCUCUGGCCGAACGGCAAAAGGCGGGCUAGGGAAUUCGGCAAAAUAGAUCCGUACCUUCGGUACAAGGAUUGGCUCCGCGGGUCGCGUCUACCGGCUUGCAUCGGCGACCGACGACGUGGCGACCGUUGUCCUCCUCGGGGGAUGGCUGUUGCAGCGGAGGCGGGCGAAGGUGCGAGUUGAGCGGUGCGGGUUUCGGCCUGCAUCGCUCGCCACGGUAGGCUAAAAACGAUCGACGCGGAGCUGGCACCGACACGGCUGACCGGACAGUUUAAUUAAAACGCAGCGCGUGGCUAUCCGCAAGCGGCGUGAAUCACGCGUGAGUCCUGCCCGGUGCUAUGAAUGUCAAGGUGGGGAGAUUCACCUAAGCACUAGUUAACGGCAGGAGUAACUAUGACUCUUUUAAGGUAGCAAAAUACCUUGUCGCAUAAUUGGCGACGUGCAUGAUUGGAUCAACCAGGUCAGCACUGUCCCAGUCCGGUCGCCGGCGAACCAACAGACGGGGGAACGGGCCCGUCAGUCGCUAACCUGGUGAGAGGGGAAGCGCGCGUUCGGUCUUCGGGCCGACGCGCCAGAUCCAUGCAACAAAGCGACGACGCGGCGCACCUCGUGUGCUGCCGACCACGGACGUCGCGACCCGUGCCAGGGACAAGCCGCGGUGGGAAGUUUGGCUGGGGCGGUACGACCCGAAAAGUGUGGCCGGGUCGACCAUGAGUCGAUCUCAGUGUGGACGGAAACCUCACGUAGCGUUUAAGGACAAAUGAUCGUCUGAUCCGGCGCCACAGCACAGCGCCGGGGCUCGACAGAGCGGCCUAGCGAUCUCGAAACGGCGCCCGGUCUCGGUCGUUCGAGUGACGGAAAAGUUACCACAGGGAUAACUGGCUUGUGGCAGCCUAGUGGCCUAAAUGACGCUGCUUUUUGAUCCUUCGAUGUCGGCUCUUCCUAUCCAGGCAGUGCAAAAGUUGCCAAAGGUAAGACUGUUCGUCUGCUAACAGGGAACGUGAGCUGGGUUUAGACCGUCGUGAGACAGGUUAGUUUUAUCCUACUGUGAGUGGUCGUCCCGAUGGUAGGAUCGUUUAGUACGACAGGAACGACGAUUCAUUGCCUAUCGCAAUGGAGUCGGUCGAGAGACCGAUGCUCCGAAGCGACGCAAUUCGGAUAAGGACUGAUGGCCUCUAAAGUUCGAAGCCGUGCCAAGUGAGCGGACGACAGUGCGGGUAGACUGCUGCGACGUGAGUUUUCGUUUUGCCAGCCUCGCCGCCGUGCGAAAAAGGCCUCCUCUUUGGGGAGCAGCCUAGGGCAACAGGUGCCGCGUGUACCGACGAUGCUCCGUCGAAAGAUCACCAGUAAACGACUGGGGAGUCUCGGUACUGUAAGGGAUCGAGU